Molecule: long non-coding RNA, 823 nt
Organism: Ictalurus furcatus (blue catfish)
Lineage: Eukaryota; Metazoa; Chordata; Actinopteri; Siluriformes; Ictaluridae
Exons: 2
Source: RefSeq, a predicted model, not a curated record
UUUCACUCAUCAGUACUGCAAAAAAAGCUUUAAACAUGGCUCUUUGUUUGUUUUGUUUUAUUCAGUAUUAUUGUGUGUGAGUUCAAACAGCACAGCAUGUCUCCACACCUUACUAGAGAAACCACUUACAAACCACUAGAGGUGUGAUUUCUGAGGUCUUUUCUCUUUAGGAGGAAGAUGUGUAGAGGACGUGAUUACCGAAGGACAUCAGGACUGUGAGGGAAAGCCGGAGGAUCAGACUGAACCUGACCUUGUCACUUUCUGUACUAAAUAACACAUGAACACAGCCGGAGCAGCACGAGUUCAGAUCAACGCUGGAGAGAAAACUGAAUAUAGCAGCAUUAUAACAAUCUAAUCCAAAAUAAAUAUAGACACGUUCUCAGAUAUUAUAGAAUAAUGCUGAAGACAUAUAUUAAAUACACACCAUGGACUAGCACAAGACUCACUCUUUAUUGUUGGAUUUUUUGUAAGUAUGUGAUAUUUUGCUAUUUAAAAAAUCAGAUUCAGACAUAUAUAUGUGUGUGUGUGGGGGUGGUGGGUUCCAGAUAAUUGUGUUCUCUUCACCUUCAUUUAUAUUAGCUAAGGGUAUUGUUCUGCAUUCACUUUGUCUAUUAAUCAUUAAAAACUGCUGAUGGAUAAUCUUGCAAAUUAUAUUUUGAAUGUACGUGUUAUUUUAUAUCUUAUGUGUACCAUUCUUAUGUAUAUUAGAUUAAAAAAUAAAUGCUCUAGGAGACUUUUGCAUAAAUAGACUGCUAUAGAAGUUCUUGUUUGUGACUUUUUAAAACUUUGAGUAAGAAUAAAAAAGGAGGAUUGUUGAAUCUGC